This 308-nucleotide ribosomal RNA is filed under the name uncultured Acidobacteriota bacterium. RNAcentral's name for it is "bacterial SSU rRNA". It matches the Rfam family "Bacterial small subunit ribosomal RNA", at positions 1161 to 1466 of the family's 1533-position model. Lineage: Bacteria; Pseudomonadati; Acidobacteriota. The record is from RNAcentral.
AACCGGAGGAAGGUGGGGAUGACGUCAAGUCAGCAUGGCCUUUAUGUCUGGGGCCACACACGUGCUACAAUGGCCGGUACAAACCGUCGCGAGCCCGCGAGGGGGAGCUAAUCGGAGAAAGCCGGUCUCAGUUCGGAUUGUAGGCUGCAACUCGCCUGCAUGAAGUUGGAAUCGCUAGUAAUCGCGGAUCAGCACGCCGCGGUGAAUACGUUCCCGGGCCUUGUACACACCGCCCGUCACAUCACGAAAGCUGGCUGUACUAGAGGUAACUGAGCCAACCCGCAAGGGAGGCAAGUUCCUGAGGUAUG